Molecule: long non-coding RNA, 2227 nt
Organism: Homo sapiens (human)
Lineage: Eukaryota; Metazoa; Chordata; Mammalia; Primates; Hominidae
Gene: FBXO38-DT
Product: FBXO38 divergent transcript
Source: Ensembl
AGCCUCAAACCCGUGUCCAUAUUGUGUGUGUGAAGAAGCAUCGAAGCGCGGCAGCCAUGUUCAGCGUGGCAUUUCGGAAGGCUUGUCAGGGGUGGAGAAGCGGGGCGGGUUGCUGUUCUUUCACCUGACACUAAAGCGCCAUGCCGGAAGCACUGAGUCUGAUACGUCGGAACCAGUCUCCACCGUGUGGUUUGGUCUUGAUUUCCACUGGUACUCUGGGGUCUUGGAUAAGUCUCUGGACCUCGCCUUUGUCAUUUGCGAAGUCGAUAGGUUCCAAUAGAGAUUUUCCCAGAAUCAUUCAACUAAAAAUAGAGAACUUUUUUUUUUUGAGAGGAAGGACGGGGGCGCAGUUAAAGAUGUUAAUGUUAAGUCAUCCCUUCUGUGAUUUCGGGACAUUAUCUUUGCACGCCAUGUGAAGAUGUGCUUGCUUCCUUGUCACCUUCCGCCAUGAUUGUAAGUUUCCUGAGGCCUCCCAGGAAGCAGAAGCCUGUACAGCCCACAGAACCAUGACCUGAUGAAAUCUCUUUUCUUUAUAAAUUACCCAGUCUCAGAGGAAACAAAAGGAGGGUGUUAGAGGAAAAAGAGGGAAACCCACUGACAGAGAGGAAGGCUGAAGAGAUCCCACCGCUGACUUGGACUAAGGAGAGAGAAGUCAAAGAGUGGUUACCUGGAUGAGGUGGCUGAAUAUGGGCCUGCUCUUGUCACUUUGGAUGUCACAACUAGCCUUGAGAAGAGCUGCUGUUCCAGGAGUCUGUCACAACUAGCCUUGAGAAGAGCUGCUGUUCCAGGAGUCUGUAGCCAAGGACGUACAGCAGUGGAGGCUGACUCAUCGCAUAGCUGAGUGACCAAUUGCUUGGCAUGAGUUUACUUUAAUGGCUGUUUCUGAGUUUGAUCCCUCUCCGGAACCAACCCCUCUGAUGUGUCCUGUUCCAGCAGGAAGAGACAGACCUGGAGGUUCUGUACUUGUGAUUUCUGGUUGUGGAUCCUGAGAACAAGAAGUACUGGGAUCCUAAAGUUCUGACAUUUGCAAAGCAGAUUAAUGACCUACCACAUUCCAGAUCAUUUGGUGAUUUUGUGUGUGCGUGUGGGUGUGUGUGUGUGUGUGCCAAAUUCAAGGUGGUCCCAGCCUUUCUAGUCUUCUCUAACCUUUCUUCUCAGAAGUCGCACCUGUUCUGUCUUUCUAGGAUAUAAUUUUUUUUCUAUUAGCCUGGGUAACACCCCAACCAAUAAAGUUUGCAAUAUCCAAGCCUCCUAAUUUCUCUACUUAUUAGCUUAUAUUAAGCUUCAGCAUGAGCAAGCCUAAAAACUCGCCAUUAUCUGGAAAAGUUCUAUUUCACAGGCUUUAAUCUCUCCUAGAGUAGUUAGCACUCUUUUGUGGCUUUGUGUUCCUGUACUAGCUUGAAUUCCACAGUCUGACGUUAAUAAUUAGCUCCUUAACACGUCCAUCCUCUCUUGAUGUCCUGCUCUCUAUUUUUCCUUCUUUCUUCCAAGUUGGGAUAAAUUCAGCUUCUUAUUUUCCUGCUCCAGACCUUGGUUGUGGAGAAAGAUAGAAAAAGUUCCAUACAGGGGACUCUGUGAUCCUGCUAACAUCAUUAUUUACCUAAGCUCUUUAGACUCCAGUGAAAGCUUCUGAUUUAAUGUCAUGUCCCUACUUUAUGCCACAUGUCCCAUACCAUUUUCUUUGUUUUAUGCAAUUUAUUUCCACUAUCUGAUCCCAUUCCACCCACAUGACUUUGAGUGGAAAACUUCAUCUCUUCAUUGCUGAGUAAACAAACUUCAGGAUGAACAAGCCCUGUCCACUAUUUUCCCUUUUACUUUAAAAUUCUGGAAUUUUUAUGAUCUACGUUUUUUUCCUCUGUUUUUAUUCUUCACUCCAUAUCAACUUACUUGGGGAUCUACACCUUCAUUCAUUCUUUUCAUUCUGUCGGCACCUGGCUAUGGAGUUUACAUUUCUCAUCAUAUUUACUCCUCAUAAUAAUCCUGUGAGGUAUAUACCACUCUGAGUCUUGUAUAAGAGAAAAAGAAACUGAGAUAGGGAUAACUCAAAGGGAUAAUUCAUUUGCUGGAGCUACCAACUAGCUACUAACCAUGCUAGAAUGGACAGAGAUGACAUUCAUGCCAAAGACCAUGUUGACUUGCUAUCUCUACAUUUGCUCUAAGUUUAGAAAAAAAAAAUCCCUUCAAUUUAUCCUCCAACAGUCUUCUUAGAACCUUACCAUGGAUGCCU